UACGUAGGGUGCGAGCGUUGUCCGGAAUUAUUGGGCGUAAAGAGCUCGUAGGCGGUGUGUCACGUCGAUCGUGAAAACUUACAGCUUAACUGUGAGCGUGCGGUCGAUACGGGCAUCACUGGAGUUCGGCAGGGGAGACUGGAAUUCCUGGUGUAGCGGUGAAAUGCGCAGAUAUCAGGAGGAACACCGGUGGCGAAGGCGGGUCUCUGGGACGGUACUGACGCUGAGACGCGAAAGCGUGGGGAGCAAACAGG
This 254-nucleotide ribosomal RNA is filed under the name uncultured bacterium. RNAcentral's name for it is "partial 16S ribosomal RNA". It matches the Rfam family "Bacterial small subunit ribosomal RNA", at positions 524 to 776 of the family's 1533-position model. The record is from RNAcentral.